Molecule: ribosomal RNA, 1127 nt
Filed under: Citrobacter freundii
Lineage: Bacteria; Pseudomonadati; Pseudomonadota; Gammaproteobacteria; Enterobacterales; Enterobacteriaceae
Description: partial 23S ribosomal RNA
Rfam family: Bacterial large subunit ribosomal RNA
Source: RNAcentral
UUUUGUAUAAUGGGUCAGCGACUUAUAUUCUGUAGCAAGGUUAACCGAAUAGGGGAGCCGAAGGGAAACCGAGUCUUAACUGGGCGUUAAGUUGCAGGGUAUAGACCCGAAACCCGGUGAUCUAGCCAUGGGCAGGUUGAAGGUUGGGUAACACUAACUGGAGGACCGAACCGACUAAUGUUGAAAAAUUAGCGGAUGACUUGUGGCUGGGGGUGAAAGGCCAAUCAAACCGGGAGAUAGCUGGUUCUCCCCGAAAGCUAUUUAGGUAGCGCCUCGUGAAUUCAUCUCCGGGGGUAGAGCACUGUUUCGGCUAGGGGGUCAUCCCGACUUACCAACCCGAUGCAAACUGCGAAUACCGGAGAAUGUUAUCACGGGAGACACACGGCGGGUGCUAACGUCCGUCGUGAAGAGGGAAACAACCCAGACCGCCAGCUAAGGUCCCAAAGUCAUGGUUAAGUGGGAAACGAUGUGGGAAGGCUCAGACAGCCAGGAUGUUGGCUUAGAAGCAGCCAUCAUUUAAAGAAAGCGUAAUAGCUCACUGGUCGAGUCGGCCUGCGCGGAAGAUGUAACGGGGCUAAACCAUGCACCGAAGCUGCGGCAGCGACACUAUGUGUUGUUGGGUAGGGGAGCGUUCUGUAAGCCUGUGAAGGUGUGCUGUGAGGCAUGCUGGAGGUAUCAGAAGUGCGAAUGCUGACAUAAGUAACGAUAAAGCGGGUGAAAAGCCCGCUCGCCGGAAGACCAAGGGUUCCUGUCCAACGUUAAUCGGGGCAGGGUGAGUCGACCCCUAAGGCGAGGCCGAAAGGCGUAGUCGAUGGGAAACAGGUUAAUAUUCCUGUACCAGGUGUUACUGCGAAGGGGGGACGGAGAAGGCUAUGUUGGCCGGGCGACGGUUGUCCCGGUUUAAGCGUGUAGGUGUGUGUUCCAGGUAAAUCCGGUUCACUUUAACACUGAGGCGUGAUGACGAGGCACUACGGUGCUGAAGCAACAAAUGCCCUGCUUCCAGGAAAAGCCUCUAAGCAUCAGGUAACAUCAGAUCGUACCCCAAACCGACACAGGUGGUCAGGUAGAGAAUACCAAGGCGCUUGAGAGAACUCGGGUGAAGGAACUAGGCAAAAUGGUGCCGUAAC